Molecule: ribosomal RNA, 379 nt
Filed under: uncultured eukaryote
Lineage: Eukaryota
Description: partial 18S ribosomal RNA
Rfam family: Eukaryotic small subunit ribosomal RNA
Source: RNAcentral
CAAUAGCGUAUAUUAAAGUUGUUGCAGUUAGAACGCUCGUAGUCGGAUUUCGGGGCGGGCCGACCGGUCUGCCGAUGGGUAUGCACUGGUCGGAGCGUCCUUCCUUCCGGAGACCGUCCCUACUCUUAACUGAGCGGGGGCGGGAGACGGGACUUUUACUUUGAAAAAAUCAGAGUGUUUCAAGCAGGCAGCUCGCUCUUGCAUGGAUUAGCAUGGGAUAAUGAAAUAGGACUUUGGUGCUAUUUUGUUGGUUUCGAACACCGAAGUAAUGAUGAGAAGGGACAGUCAGGGGCACUCGUAUUCCGCCGAGAGAGGUGAAAUUCUCAGACCAGCGGAAGACGAACCACUGCGAAAGCAUUUGCCAGGGAUGUUUUCACUG